This 492-nucleotide ribosomal RNA is filed under the name uncultured bacterium. Its description in RNAcentral is "partial 16S ribosomal RNA". It matches the Rfam family "Bacterial small subunit ribosomal RNA", at positions 29 to 507 of the family's 1533-position model. The record is from RNAcentral.
AGUGAACGCUGGCGGUAGGCCUAACACAUGCAAGUCGAACGGCAGCACAGUAAGAGCUUGCUCUUACGGGUGGCGAGUGGCGGACGGGUGAGGAAUACAUCGGAAUCUACUUUUUCGUGGGGGAUAACGUAGGGAAACUUACGCUAAUACCGCAUACGACUUACGGGUGAAAGCAGGGGAUCUUCGGACCUUGCGCGAUUGAAUGAGCCGAUGUCGGAUUAGCUAGUUGGCGGGGUAAAGGCCCACCAAGGCGACGAUCCGUAGCUGGUCUGAGAGGGUGAUCAGCCACACUGGAACUGAGACACGGUCCAGACUCCUACGGGAGGCAGCAGUGGGGAAUAUUGGACAAUGGGCGCAAGCCUGAUCCAGCCAUACCGCGUGGGUGAAGAAGGCCUUCGGGUUGUAAAGCCCUUUUGUUGGGAAAGAAAAGCAGCAGGUUAAUACCCCGCUGUUCUGACGGUACCCAAAGAAUAAGCACCGGCUAACUUCGUG